MicroRNA precursor from Cricetulus griseus (Chinese hamster), 89 nucleotides. NCBI's taxonomy places the organism in Eukaryota, Metazoa, Chordata, Mammalia, Rodentia, Cricetidae. The record is from Ensembl.
CUUCACCUGAAUGCAUGACUCUGCAACCUCAGGACUCUCAAAACUACUGGAUUGCUGUCCUGAGGUUGUUGAGUUGUACGUUUCUGGGC